Cyprinus carpio carpio is the source of this 1279-nucleotide long non-coding RNA. NCBI's taxonomy places the organism in Eukaryota, Metazoa, Chordata, Actinopteri, Cypriniformes, Cyprinidae. The record is from Ensembl.
UGUGUGUGUGUGUGCACAUAAAUCACUCAGACUUGUGUGCUGUGAGACGGAGCUACUGAGUUCUUUAAUCCAGGGAAUCUCAACCAGUGGGUCUGAUGGGUCACAGACGGCAGUGAAACACGACACUGUGUUCAUUUACACAUCCUGUGCAGAUCGUCUCUCGGAGUCUCUCUACAGCCCAAACCGCCCAAAACAUCCCCGUGUCGGUCCAAACAUCAUUUUUCAUCUGAGCGUUUGACGCGACGGAGCGCUGCUGUUUGUGUGUGUAAUGUAUCAGUGUGUGAUUUCUGACAGAGGAAGUGUGUGUUGUGCCAUCGAUCUGCUCUCAGACAGCUCUUUCUGCUCCGCUGACAGACAGUGAUGGAGGGCGGCGAGCGGGCGGCACUGACUCCAGACCAGUGACACUGUCCCACGCUCACAGAGUCUAUUGAUCUGCUCUGGAUGGACGGCUGGAGACAAACACGCGGCUUACAGCCGGUUUAGAGCUGGUUCUACGCCGCUAAACUGAACAAAUCUAGAAUGAACUCAAGCACAGCUCUAAACUUCACAACUGACUGAAUCUAAUUCCCUUUAUAUCUUCCUUUCGAUGCUUUAGUGUUGUAUCUGAAGUCUGUUUAAAAGCUUACGAAGCCCUGUACACCCUUAUGAGACAGAGAUUUACACCGACAUGUCUUAAAGUCGACAUUUCCUUCCUCCUCUUGUGUUCCUGUGUGUUUAUGGCCAGAAUGCAUGUGUGUUAGAAACAAAAUUUAGUUUGUUUUACUCAAAUUUAGUUAGUAUUUAGUUUAUUUAAUGAAUAGUAUUCAUUAUUUUAAAUUAGCUUUUCUUUCUGUAUUUUCAGUUUUAGAAAAUGUAUGUCUUUAUUUCAUUUUUGCUUGCUUUAUGUAUGUACUUUCCCCCUCGCCCCAGUACUUUAUUUCAAGUUUGUUUUCCAUCUAAUGUUUUAUUAUAGCUUUAUUUCAAUUAACAAAAAGGUUUCUAGUAGUUUUAGUUAACAAUAAAAACACUGCUGUCUUUAUUUCAAAUUAUAAUAAUUAUUCAGAAAAUCUUGACUGCUUUGAACAAAUUGAAUCAGUGAGUUAUCUGAUUCAUGAACACAUCAUUCAGACUGCUUUUGUGACUAACUGAUUCACUGAAAAGAUCCAGCUCAAAAGAAUGAUUCAUUGUCUUUGAUUCAGUGAUUCAAGUCUCUUUACUGUCAUUGGUGGUCCGCUGAAUGCAUCCUUGCUUAAUUUCAUUUAAAAGAAAAGACCACAAACUUUUGAACAGUUGUGUAUUU